Molecule: non-coding RNA, 95 nt
Organism: Acanthosepion pharaonis
Lineage: Eukaryota; Metazoa; Mollusca; Cephalopoda; Sepiida; Sepiidae
Source: the annotation of a GenBank genome assembly
CGUUGAAACACUGGUUCUCGUCCGAUCACCGAAGUUAAGCAAUGUUGAGUCUGGUAAGUAAGAAGUUGUGGGGCCGCUUUGGAAUAUCAGGUGCU